AACGCUACCCUUUCUGCAGCCCUAUACUCCUCUAUCUGGGUCAUGUACAGCUCCAAAUUUGGCCCCUCCAUCGUACUCUCAUUACUCAUAAAAGGCCUCGUCCUCACACAGUUGCCUCCCUUGUUCCAUAACCCAUUUUCAAAGUGUGCAGGCGAAAAGGUUCGAAGAAUCGUCAUGCCCUUGAAGUUUUUGUUGCUGUUAAUGGCUUUGAACACUGUUCUGAAAGCCUUUCGAUAGCCGUAGUAAACUGUGAGGUCGGUGACAUUUUCUUGGAGGCAGUAGUAGCAGCCGGAUACCCGGCGGUUCUCGUAGAACAUGGUUGGACGGUAGAACCAUUGGCCAGCAGAGAUGAUAAGGUAGUCAAAUUCCUCCAUCUGAUUUGUCCAUGCCUCAUCCAACUCAUCAAGAUAGAGGUUGAAGAGACCGGUCUGGGUUGGACCACCUGGGUCUGCUAAUUUGGUUUUUAUCAGAAAGGGUGUCCAGAAACUGGCCAUGGUGAAGUUGUAGUCCGUGUACCUCCACCUUUUGAAAUUUUCGUCUGUUGUGUAUGAAACAUCAAUGGGGUAUACUA
This 571-nucleotide long non-coding RNA is filed under the name Vitis vinifera (wine grape). RNAcentral's name for it is "long non-coding RNA (VVIN_LNC004766)". The record is from RNAcentral. Lineage: Eukaryota; Viridiplantae; Streptophyta; Magnoliopsida; Vitales; Vitaceae.